RNAcentral lists this ribosomal RNA (375 nucleotides) under uncultured organism. Its description in RNAcentral is "partial 16S ribosomal RNA". It matches the Rfam family "Bacterial small subunit ribosomal RNA", at positions 527 to 897 of the family's 1533-position model. The record is from RNAcentral.
GUAGGUGGCAAGCGUUGUCCGGAAUUAUUGGGCGUAAAGCGCGCGCAGGUGGUUCUUUAAGUCUGAUGUGAAAGCCCCCGGGCUCAACCGGGGGAGGGUCAUUGGAAACUGGGGAACUUGAGUGCAGGAGAGGAAAGUGGAAUUCCACGUGUAGCGGUGAAAUGCGUAGAUAUGUGGAGGAACACCAGUGGCGAAGGCGACUUCCUGGCCUGUAACUGACACUGAGGCGCGAAAGCGUGGGGAGCAAACAGGAUUAGAUACCCUGGUAGUCCACGCCGUAAACGAUGAGUGCUAAGUGUUGGGGGGUUUCCGCCCCUCAGUGCUGCAGCUAACGCAUUAAGCACUCCGCCUGGGGAGUACGGUCGCAAAGACUGA